GAUGAACGCUGGCGGCGUGCCUAAUACAUGCAAGUCGAGCGAACAGACGAGGAGCUUGCUCCUCUGACGUUAGCGGCGGACGGGUGAGUAACACGUGGAUAACCUACCUAUAAGACUGGGAUAACUUCGGGAAACCGGAUCUACUACCGGAUAAUAUAUUGAACCGCAUGGUUCAAUAGUGAAAGACGGCUUUGCUGUCACUAAUAGAUGGAUCCGCGCCGCAUUAGCUAGUUGGUAAGGUAACGGCUUACCAAGGCAACGAUGCGUAGCCGAUCUGAGAGGAUGAUCGGCCACACUGGAACUGAGACACGGUCCAGACUCCUACGGGAGGCAGCAGUAGGGAAUAUUCCGCAAUGGGCGAAAGCCUGACGGAGCAACGCCGCGUGAGUGAUGAAGGUCUUCGGAUCGUAAAACUCUGUUGUUAGGGAAGAACAGAUGUGUAAGUAACUAUGCACGUCUUGACGGUACCUAAUCAAAAAGCCACGGCUAACUACGUG
This 497-nucleotide ribosomal RNA is filed under the name uncultured bacterium. Its description in RNAcentral is "partial 16S ribosomal RNA". It matches the Rfam family "Bacterial small subunit ribosomal RNA", at positions 28 to 507 of the family's 1533-position model. The record is from RNAcentral.